CUUCUCCCCAAAAAGAAACGAGAAGAAGAAAUUUGUUAUUGAUAGUAUGGAGCAGAAACCUAUUCUUCUUUGCCUUAUGGUGCUUCUGCUGCUGGGAAAUUGUACUCAUGCUGAGAAUUGCAAAACUGAAACAGCUUUUGGAACCACCCUAUGCGCAUUUGUUACUUGCCUGAGCACCUGCAUAUCUGUGUGGGGGAAUCUUGUGAAACAAGCAGAUUGUAAGCCUGUCAGACCUUCCUAUACAAUUUGUACUUGUCUCGUAUGUGUCUAGAAUUACACUUUGCCAUCAUUUCGAACAAUGGGCAAUGAUGUGAUCCAGUAAUAAAAUCUUCUUGUCAAAUGGAUGUGAGGAUGUAUGAGAUCACUAAAUUUGGAUGUUAUGGUGAUCUGAUUUUACUCUGUUUUGUGUAGUCUUAGAAUCGAUGAUUUUAUGUUUGU
This is a long non-coding RNA of Triticum aestivum (bread wheat), 438 nucleotides long. RefSeq lists it as uncharacterized. NCBI's taxonomy places the organism in Eukaryota, Viridiplantae, Streptophyta, Magnoliopsida, Poales, Poaceae. The record is from RefSeq and is a predicted model, not a curated record. The transcript is spliced from 2 exons.